UCUCGGCUCUUGCAUCGAUGAAGAACGUAGUGAAAUGCGAUACUUGGUGUGAAUUGCAGAAUCUCGUGAACCAUUGAGUCUUUGAACGCAAGUUGUGCCCGAGGCCUUUUGGUCGAGGGCACGCCUGCUUGGGCGUCAUGGCAUCGUCGCCUUUGCUCCUUGCUU
RNAcentral lists this ribosomal RNA (165 nucleotides) under Alpinia aff. melichroa KH-2018. RNAcentral's name for it is "5.8S ribosomal RNA". The stretch from base 1 to 138 matches the Rfam family "5.8S ribosomal RNA", at positions 19 to 154 of the family's 154-position model. Rfam says of the family: 5.8S ribosomal RNA (5.8S rRNA) is a component of the large subunit of the eukaryotic ribosome. The record is from RNAcentral. Lineage: Eukaryota; Viridiplantae; Streptophyta; Magnoliopsida; Zingiberales; Zingiberaceae.